RNAcentral lists this non-coding RNA (29 nucleotides) under Gallus gallus (chicken). Lineage: Eukaryota; Metazoa; Chordata; Aves; Galliformes; Phasianidae. RNAcentral also lists the same sequence under 5 other names. The record is from RNAcentral.
GUUUCGUACGUAGCAGAGCAGCUCCCUCG